This 497-nucleotide ribosomal RNA is filed under the name uncultured bacterium. RNAcentral describes it as "partial 16S ribosomal RNA". It matches the Rfam family "Bacterial small subunit ribosomal RNA", at positions 28 to 507 of the family's 1533-position model. The record is from RNAcentral.
GACGAACGCUGGCGGCGUGCCUAAUACAUGCAAGUAGAACGCUGAAGAGAGGAGCUUGCUCUUCUUGGAUGAGUUGCGAGCGGGUGAGUAACGCGUAGGUAACCUGCCUUGUAGCGGGGGAUAACUAUUGGAAACGAUAGCUAAUACCGCAUAACAAUGGAUGACACAUGUCAUUUAUUUGAAAGGGGCAAUUGCUCCACUACAAGAUGGACCUGCGUUGUAUUAGCUAGUAGGUGAGGUAAUGGCUCACCUAGGCGACGAUACAUAGCCGACCUGAGAGGGUGAUCGGCCACACUGGGACUGAGACACGGCCCAGACUCCUACGGGAGGCAGCAGUAGGGAAUCUUCGGCAAUGGGGGCAACCCUGACCGAGCAACGCCGCGUGAGUGAAGAAGGUUUUCGGAUCGUAAAGCUCUGUUGUAAGUCAAGAACGGGUGUGAGAGUGGAAAGUUCACACUGUGAUGGUAGCUUACCAGAAAGGGACGGCUAACUACGUG